RNAcentral lists this ribosomal RNA (617 nucleotides) under uncultured bacterium. Its description in RNAcentral is "bacterial SSU rRNA". It matches the Rfam family "Bacterial small subunit ribosomal RNA", at positions 59 to 704 of the family's 1533-position model. The record is from RNAcentral.
AAGUCGAGCGAUUCUCUUCGGAGAAGAGCGGCGGACGGGUGAGUAACGCGUGGGUAACCUGCCCUGUACACACGGAUAACAUACCGAAAGGUAUGCUAAUACGAGAUAAUAUACUUUUAUCGCAUGGUAGAAGUAUCAAAGCUUUUGCGGUACAGGAUGGACCCGCGUCUGAUUAGCUAGUUGGUAAGGUAACGGCUUACCAAGGCGACGAUCAGUAGCCGACCUGAGAGGGUGAUCGGCCACAUUGGAACUGAGACACGGUCCAAACUCCUACGGGAGGCAGCAGUGGGGAAUAUUGCACAAUGGGCGAAAGCCUGAUGCAGCAACGCCGCGUGAGCGAUGAAGGCCUUCGGGUCGUAAAGCUCUGUCCUCAAGGAAGAUAAUGACGGUACUUGAGGAGGAAGCCCCGGCUAACUACGUGCCAGCAGCCGCGGUAAUACGUAGGGGGCUAGCGUUAUCCGGAAUUACUGGGCGUAAAGGGUGCGUAGGUGGUUUCUUAAGUCAGAGGUGAAAGGCUACGGCUCAACCGUAGUAAGCCUUUGAAACUGGGAAACUUGAGUGCAGGAGAGGAGAGUGGAAUUCCUAGUGUAGCGGUGAAAUGCGUAGAUAUUAGGAGG